UUAACGCACGGAUCGCCGCAACCAUUCGCCGG
This 32-nucleotide non-coding RNA is filed under the name Geobacter sulfurreducens KN400. The record is from RNAcentral. Lineage: Bacteria; Pseudomonadati; Thermodesulfobacteriota; Desulfuromonadia; Geobacterales; Geobacteraceae.